UGCUUUUGUUGUGAAAUGCGGGAAAGUCAACUUUUGGAGUUGGAGGAGUCAGUCUCAUUCUGCGUGUGGUCGGAGGCAAAGGAGGCUGCAUAGACGGUGGAGCAGAUUUAGCACCGGGACGGAGCAGUGGGACUGCGGGGCAGACAACACGGAGGAGCGGGACGGAGGAGCAAACACCGAUAGACGGCGGAGGAAAUACACAGAGCAACGGGACGUAGAAGCAGGACGUGGAGGAGCCAGCCCAAACACUGGCAAACAGUGCACCAACGCAGAGCUGUGGGUCCAAACACUUUAACUCUGGACCAGACUGCUUAGAGGAUACUGACCCAGAGGAGGAGCAGACAAGAGGUCUCUCUGUGGGUAUCCUCACUGUGCUGGAGGAUGACUGUACUUCACCUGCUGUAAAUGUGAUGAACCUUACUGUGGUUGUUGAAGAAACAAUCAUCCUUCAGGAUCUCCCAGAUCUGCCAACGGCUUUUGGCUUUGUCUUUGGGUUGAUCAAUGUCUUAAACCUUCAAUACCCAAAAGAUCUCAGGUACACCUUUGAAAUGGUUCAGAAAAUCUUAAUGGGACUUGGGACAGAUCUCUCGGCAAGGGUAAGAUCCCUCAAAAACAGGCUUUUUCUAUGAAUCCUAUAUGGUAGCUGUUGGGUGUACCGUACCUUUUUUUUCUUUAAUGUCUUGCAGUUUUUCAGUUUUGGGCUUACGUAAAUGUAGAGUUCAAGUCAUUGUUUCCACUGUUGCCACUUUAAUAAAAAGACAGUUUUAUACAGAAAAAAUAUUAUAUAAAUUUUUAUUUGUAAUGCUAUGCUAGAUAUUUUUAUGUUUUACUGGUGUUUCUCUUAAAAUGUGUGAUACAAGGUCAGCAUUUUGUUUGUUCCUUUUCAGCCAGUUAUUCUGGAGUUGGGCUACUCAACCAGGUACACACCAGGGUCUUGUAAUUGUACAUUAAAGUGCAUAAGUUUAAAAUAAUUUAGUCUUACAGCUGGUCUCACAGCUAGAUGUGUUGGGCUUCCUACAGUUGUAGUUCAGCUUUUUCAGCUGUUCUGUAUCAAACAGAUCUUAAUGUUUUAAUGCCAAUAGUGUCUGUCAAGAUAAGUUUUAUGCUCCAUAGCUUAACUUGUGUAGUGUUUUACUAAGCAUUCUCAGUUUUUGGGAAGUGUUACACAUGGUGUUUAACAUGAUGUGACAAAAGUUCAAAAUAAAAACACUUGUCAUCGGCAUCUGAAUUUGCUUUUGUUUAGAAUUUGCUGUUUAAACCCAUCUGUUACAUUAUUAAGUGUGGUCUGUUAUCAAAAAUGACAUUUUCCUAUACUGUUUAAUAACAGAGUUGGUGUAUGCAAUAUAUACAUGAGGUGGUAAUUCAACUUUUCGCUGUGAAAUGUGUUAAAAGUUGCAGCAAGUUGUAGUGGAGUAAGCUAAAGUCACAAUUAAAAGUUGUUGAAAUGUAAAAUGUUAUGCCUCAAUAACUUGAGUUUGGAAAAGUCAAAAAUAAUAACUGGUGAAAUGUUAAAUUUUAAGUAAGUGGAACUUUUAAAAUUGAGGUAUAAAUUAGGAUUUACAGUCAGUACUAUUUAAAAUUUACGUUUUUACAACUUAAAAUUGGGUAACAAAAACUUGGGAUUCAAAGUUACUACAACAUACACUUGAGUUAGAUAAACUCAGGUUUCAUACUUAUUAC
Non-coding RNA from Nothobranchius furzeri (turquoise killifish), 1680 nucleotides. The record is from RefSeq and is a predicted model, not a curated record. Lineage: Eukaryota; Metazoa; Chordata; Actinopteri; Cyprinodontiformes; Nothobranchiidae.